UACGUCGCCGCAAAGCACGUGUCAAAUGCUCCCAAUGACGAAAACGGGCCUUUCACCUGUUUCCUGAACUCGUCCCGAAUCGCUGUGUAAACGGGUGGUACGAAUCGGGUUAUCACCGUACCGGAAUCGAUGAUGGUGCCAGCGCCGGUGUUCGGGUUGAAGGCUAAGAGUUCUGGUUCGACGGGGACGAGGACUCGGCCGACGCUGAUUCCGGUUAGGUUGACGUAGUAGAGAGAUGGGCGGUGUGGGUUAUGUAAAAGUGGAGUAGUCCGGAUGUUUUUGGGUUGACCCACCGGACCAAGUUUUAGGGAUCCGGAAAAGUAGUAGGAUCUGAAGCUGGGCAAACAGUAGGAGAACACACCGGAGUAAAGCGACUGGGACUGUGAGAUCAACGACAUGGGUCCCCGACCCAGACCCAGUAACCCUUGGGGCGGAAUUGACCCGCCCGAGAUGCUGUUUAUGCAUCCAAAGACGAAAUUAGGAAGGACGUCGUUCGCCAAUGCAAGAGAAUCUUGCACAAGCGUGGCGGAUAACGAGGAGUCUCCGCCGUAGGAUUGGUUAAAGAGGCAAGCGGAAUUCCCGGUCUCCGGACACGAGAGGCCUCGUACUUGGGUACAUUGGGUCAUGGAGCAGUCCAACGACCUGUACGUGGAAGAGGUAUUGGGUUGAAAAGUGGUUGCAGAGCACCCAGUACAGCCGGCACAGGGGACCCA
Molecule: long non-coding RNA, 713 nt
Filed under: Carica papaya (papaya)
Lineage: Eukaryota; Viridiplantae; Streptophyta; Magnoliopsida; Brassicales; Caricaceae
Description: long non-coding RNA (CPAP_LNC016020)
Source: RNAcentral